This 884-nucleotide ribosomal RNA is filed under the name uncultured bacterium. RNAcentral describes it as "bacterial SSU rRNA". It matches the Rfam family "Bacterial small subunit ribosomal RNA", at positions 8 to 892 of the family's 1533-position model. The record is from RNAcentral.
AGAGUUUGAUCAUGGCUCAGGACGAACGCUGGCGGCGUGCUUAACACAUGCAAGUCGAGCGGAAAGGCCACUUCGGUGGUACUCGAGCGGCGAACGGGUGAGUAACACGUGAGUAAUCUGCCCUUCACUUCGGGAUAACGCCUGGAAACGGGUGCUAAUACCGGAUACGAUCAAGGUCUGCAUGGGCUCUUGAUGGAAAGUUUUUUCGGUGGAGGAUGUGCUCGCGGCCUAUCAGCUUGUUGGUGGGGUAAUGGCCUACCAAGGCUUCGACGGGUAGCCGGCCUGAGAGGGUGACCGGCCACACUGGGACUGAGACACGGCCCAGACUCCUACGGGAGGCAGCAGUGGGGAAUAUUGGACAAUGGGCGGAAGCCUGAUCCAGCAACGCCGCGUGAGGGAUGACGGCCUUCGGGUUGUAAACCUCUUUCACCUGUGACGAAGCGAAAGUGACGGUAGCAGGAGAAGAAGCACCGGCCAACUACGUGCCAGCAGCCGCGGUAAUACGUAGGGUGCGAGCGUUGUCCGGAAUUAUUGGGCGUAAAGGGCUCGUAGGCGGUUUGUCGCGUCGGGAGUGAAAACCCAGGGCUUAACCCUGGGCUGGCUUCCGAUACGGGCAGACUAGAGGUAUGCAGGGGAGAACGGAAUUCCUGGUGUAGCGGUGAAAUGCGCAGAUAUCAGGAGGAACACCGGUGGCGGAAGGCGGUUCUCUGGGCAUUACCUGACGCUGAGGAGCGAAAGUGUGGGGGAGCGAACAGGAUUAGAUACCCUGGGUAGUCCACACCGUAAACGUUGGGGCGCUAGGGUGUGGGGGUCCAUUCCACGGAUUCCGUGGCCGCAGCUAAACGCAUGUAAGCGCCCCCGCCCUGGGGAGUACGGGCCGCAAG